This 462-nucleotide ribosomal RNA is filed under the name uncultured bacterium. RNAcentral's name for it is "partial 16S ribosomal RNA". It matches the Rfam family "Bacterial small subunit ribosomal RNA", at positions 28 to 507 of the family's 1533-position model. The record is from RNAcentral.
GAUGAACGCUGACAGAAUGCUUAACACAUGCAAGUCAUUGGCGAAGCUGCGCUUGCGCAGUCUAGCCAAGGCGGACGGGUGAGUAACGCGUAAGGAACUUGCCCUGCAGACAGGGAUAACAGACGGAAACGACUGAUAACACCUGGUAUUGUCAGGCUGGCGCAUGCCGGCCUGAUGAAAGGAGACGCUGCAGGAGAGCCUUGCGUCCUAUUAGCUAGUUGGUGGGGUAACGGCCCACCAAGGCGAUGAUAGGUAGCCGGCCUGAGAGGGUGAACGGCCACAAGGGGAAUGAGAUACGGCCCUUACUCCUACGGGAGGAAGCAGUGGGGAAUAUUGGACAAUGGGGGCAACCCUGAUCCAGCAAUUCUGUGUGCAAGAAGAAGGUUUUCGGAUUGUAAAGUGCUUUCAGCAGGGAAGAAGAAAGUGACGGUACCUGCAGAAGAAGCGACGGCUAAAUACGUG